UACGGAGGGGGCUAGCGUUAUUCGGAAUUAUUGGGCGUAAAGGGCGCGUAGGCGGCCCGGUAAGUCAAAGGUGAAAUCCCUCGGCUCAACUGAGGAACUGCCUUUGAAACUGUCGGGCUUGAGGCCGGGAGGGGGUAGCGGAAUUCCCAGUGUAGAGGUGAAAUUCGUAGAUAUUGGGAAGAACACCGAUGGCGAAGGCAGCCAUCUGGACCGACACUGACGCUGAGGCGCGAAAGCGUGGGGAGCAAACAGG
Molecule: ribosomal RNA, 253 nt
Filed under: uncultured bacterium
Lineage: Bacteria
Description: partial 16S ribosomal RNA
Rfam family: Bacterial small subunit ribosomal RNA
Source: RNAcentral